AACCUAUGCAGGGGAAUAACCUCGGGAAACUGAGUAUAAUGCCCCAUAGUCCACUACGCCUGGAACGGUGAGUGGAUCAAAGCUCAGGCGGCAUAGGAUGGGCCUGCGGCGUAUCAGGUCGUAGGGGGUGUAAAGUACCCUCUAGCCAUCUACGCGUACGGGUGUUGGGAGACAUAGCCCGGAGAUGGAUUCUGAGACACGAAUCCAGACCCUACGGGGUGCAGCAGGCGCGAAAACUUGACAAUGCGAGCAAUCGUGAUCAGGGAACUCCAAGUGGCUGGGGUAAGACCCAGUCUUUUCAUAACUCUUCAAAGGUUGUAGAAUAAGGGGUGGGUAAGGACGGUGCCAGCCGCCGCGGUAAUACCGGCGCCUCAAGUGGUAGUCGCUUUUAUUGGGCCUACAACGUCCGUAGCCGGUUUGGUACAUUCGUGGGUAAAUCAACUCGCUCAACGAGUUGAAUUCUGCGAGGACGGCCAGACUUGGGACCGGGAGAGGUGUGGGGUACUCUCAGGGUAGGGGUAAAAUCCUGUCAUCCUGAGAGGACCACCUGUUGCGAAGGCGCCACACUAGAACGGAUCCGACGGUCAGGGACGAAGCCUAGGGGCACGAACCGGAUUAGAUACCCGGGUAGUCCUAGGUGUAAACGCUGUGGACUUGAUGUUGGAGAAGCUCCGAACUUCUUCAGUGUCGAAGCGAAGGUGAUAAGUCCACUGCCUGGGAAGUACGGUCGCAAGGCUGAAACUUAAAGGAAUCGGCGGGGAGCACCGCAACCUGAGGAUUGUGCGGGUUUAAUUGGAUUCAACGCCCGGGA
Molecule: ribosomal RNA, 811 nt
Filed under: uncultured Candidatus Poseidoniales archaeon
Lineage: Archaea; Methanobacteriati; Thermoplasmatota; Candidatus Poseidoniia; Candidatus Poseidoniales
Description: bacterial SSU rRNA
Rfam family: Archaeal small subunit ribosomal RNA
Source: RNAcentral